CACAGAGCAUUGGGCUCUGGGCCUAGUCUAAAUAUAGAAGCUCAGAAGUUCACUCCGAACAGUCGAAUACACACAAUUCACUGGGUCAUCAGUGCCACUCUUAGUUAUGCUUUGUGUCACAUGAAAGCAAUUCGUCUCAGUAGUACGUAGAAGCUUUCUAUGAAGGACUGCACUGAAACUUAACGAUUCUUGCAACACGAAGAGUGUUUAAAAAAUCUGAACCAGCUACACGGAAAAAGCCACCUACAUUUUCCGCAUGUGUGUAACUGCUACCGGGAGUUAAAGCAGCAUCUAAAAUAUUAGCUGCAGUUCUACAUUUUGUCAUCUGGAGAUUUAUCUCAUUCUUCCACGCAGCAACGGAUGGGCAUGAUAUGAAAAUAAAAUAAACCUAAAGAGGAACAAGCCAAAACCACGACACUGACUCAGAAAUCUGCCAUUCAAUUCCAGAAGG
Long non-coding RNA from Schistocerca cancellata (South American locust), 451 nucleotides. RefSeq lists it as uncharacterized. The transcript has 3 exons. The record is from RefSeq and is a predicted model, not a curated record. NCBI's taxonomy places the organism in Eukaryota, Metazoa, Arthropoda, Insecta, Orthoptera, Acrididae.